RNAcentral lists this ribosomal RNA (631 nucleotides) under uncultured Actinomycetes bacterium. RNAcentral's name for it is "bacterial SSU rRNA". It matches the Rfam family "Bacterial small subunit ribosomal RNA", at positions 395 to 1042 of the family's 1533-position model. The record is from RNAcentral. Lineage: Bacteria; Bacillati; Actinomycetota; Actinomycetes.
CGCCGCGUGCGGGAUGAAGGCCCUAGGCUUGUAAACCGCUUUCAGCAGGGAAGAAAUUGACGGUACCUGCAGAAGAAGGUGCGGCCAACUACGUGCCAGCAGCCGCGGUGACACGUAGGCACCAAGCGUUGUCCGGAUUUAUUGGGCGUAAAGAGCUCGUAGGCGGUUCAGUUAGUCGGGUGUUAAAACUCUGGGCUCAACCCAGAGACGCCACUCGAUACUGCUGUGACUAGAGUGCGGUAGGGGAGCGGGGAAUUCCUGGUGUAGCGGUGAAAUGCGCAGAUAUCAGGAGGAACACCAGUGGCGAAGGCGCCGCUCUGGGCCGCAACUGACGCUGAGGAGCGAAAGCGUGGGUAGCAAACAGGAUUAGAUACCCUGGUAGUCCACGCCGUAAACGUUGGGCACUAGGUGUGGGUCUCAACCAACGAGAUCCGCGCCGUCGCUAACGCAUUAAGUGCCCCGCCUGGGGAGUACGGCCGCAAGGCUAAAACUCAAAGGAAUUGACGGGGGCCCGCACAAGCAGCGGAGCGUGUUGCUUAAUUCGAUGCAACGCGAAGAACCUUACCUGGGUUUUGACAUGUACCGAAAAGCUCUAGAGAUAGGGUGUCCUUCGGGGCGGUACACAGGUGGU